CAUCGAUUUGUUCAUUUUUAACAAACGCAGCAAAGGAACGAUGCAUAGGCCUGUAAGAAUAAAUUAUCCCAGUAGAUGCAUAAGUGCAUGGAUAUACGCUUAAAGAAGGACCACCACCAGCAGCAUGUUAAGAUCUGUCAGUUUUACAAAAUAGAAAGGAACAGAAAUCAGUUUUCAUGAUGAUUAAAUAUUAAAAUGAUCUUACAACAAUAAAAUACUUUUUUUUUUUGUUUACUGAUUGGUAGACGCAUGGAUCUGUCACAUUUCAUUUUUACACUACUCGCUCUAAAAAGAUGGAAGCGGGCCGUUUACAGGCAGAAAACCAA
Molecule: long non-coding RNA, 326 nt
Organism: Thalassophryne amazonica
Lineage: Eukaryota; Metazoa; Chordata; Actinopteri; Batrachoidiformes; Batrachoididae
Exons: 2
Source: RefSeq, a predicted model, not a curated record